This is a long non-coding RNA of Aethalodelphis obliquidens (Pacific white-sided dolphin), 2263 nucleotides long. RefSeq lists it as uncharacterized. The transcript is spliced from 5 exons. The record is from RefSeq and is a predicted model, not a curated record. Lineage: Eukaryota; Metazoa; Chordata; Mammalia; Artiodactyla; Delphinidae.
GCCCGCCCGCCCCGCCGACUGCAGCCUGCGCUCGGCGCUCGGCCCCCGGCGCCCGGGCGGACGGCGCCCACAAGGUGGCAGUGCCGCGCUGCUGGUGUCCUGGCCGGGUUCCGCGCGGGGCGCGCGGGGAGGCCGGAGCCCGCGCGUCCCUCCUGCAAAAGUUUUAAUGAACAUAGACCCACCCGGGCCUGGGGCGCUCCCAGGCCUGCUGGCCGCGCCGCUUCGAUUUCGGAGUUCCUCUGGGAGAGUUGUACGCUUCGAUGGCGUCUCUCUUUGUCCUCGACUCAGAGAAUCAGGAUUCGGAGCCUGUAAUUGAAGCAGGAGUCCGGCCAUGGCUGCGGAGAUGCCAUCACCCUAAGGAAAGAGGGAGGCAUCUUCUGAGGAAUCGCCUUGAGAACCCGAGGCACGUCUGUUCAUACCUUCAAUCCUGACAAGCUGUUUUUGAAGGCGAAUAUGAUGUUUGGAACCAUCUAGAAGUCAUUUGGAGUCCAAUGAAAAAGCCAGCGAUCAAGGGGAGAAUAAAGGUCUGAGUGAAAAGGUAGCAGCCAAACAAAGGAGCGUGGAAGGGGAAGAGUUCCAACAGCAGUCGGACAAGAUCACUUCAGGCAGAAGACUAGAUGUAUCACCACCAAUUCAGGUGGCAUACGAAGAAGAUCAAACUCUUCAUCUCCUUCUCCUGACUUCUGCCCUUCGUAAUUUGUCCAGACCCAGGAGAAGCCAGGAAGGACAUAUGGGGACAACUGAGGAAAACUGAACACGGACUACAUAUUAGAAAGGAGGAUUGUAUCAAUAAUAUUUUGUAUGAUUAGACCGUGGUUAUGUGGGAGAAUGCCCUCAUUCUCAUAUAAAUAGACGUAUGUAGGGUUGAAGUGUCCUGACAGCUAAACUGGUACUCAAAUGUUCCAGCAACAAACAAACAAACCACACCAGAGAGUUAAAGCAAAGGAGGUAAAUGUUAACAGCCGGGGGAUUUAGAUAAAGAGUAUAUAGAUAUUUUUGCAACUUUUCUAUAGGUUUGAAAUUUAUUCAAAAUAAAAAGUUGGUUAAAAAAAAAAAGAAAUAAUAUUAGCAGCACUUAUGUAGCCCUUACUUUGUACUAUAGAUACUUUUCCAAGCACUUUACACAGAGUAAUUUAUUUAAUCUUCACAACACCCUGCAUGGUAUAUUAUAUUAGCUGCAUUUUACACAUGAAACAAUAGAGGUUCAUAGAGGUUAAGUGAUUUGACCGAAGUCAACAGUCAGCAAGGAGUAGAGUUGGGAUUCCAACUAGAGGCUGUGCAACUUAACCUCUCUGCUCUGCUUUUAUUGGACAUAUCCUAGUUUCCAUAGCCUUCUGAGGGCAUGGAAGAGGUUGUCCAUCACACCUCAAUAACUCAAACACUUUAAAGUUCUUCUUUAUAUUAACUUGAAAUUUAUUUCCUGAUGGAUUUUAUCCAUUUGUUCUGUUUCUACAGUGGGUCCAUCCAGAGCAAAUCACUCUUCCCUCCACUAGAAUGUAAGCUCCACAAGAAUUAAGAAUCGGUCAUGUUCACUACUGUGUUCCCAUGUUGGAAAACUUCCUCCUGGCACACGGCAGGAACUCACUAAACAUUUAUCGAAUGAAUGAAUGAAUGAACAACAGCCUUUCAAAUAUUUGAGGUCAACUGCUGGAAGUUUCCACUCUCUGUUGAAAACCUCCCUAAUCCCUUCAAUUGUGCCAUUAAUAUUCUAGUCACUGUCAUCUAAAUAGUUUCAGUUUUUCUAGUGUUAAGGGUUGUUCCCGGAACUGAAAACAGUACUCCAGCGUUCACUGACCACCACCACUUUCUUUGUUUCAGAUGAUUUCCUUCUUUUAAUUGAGCCUAAGGAACCACAACAGUUUUUUAAGUGGCGUUGUAAACACUACAGAAAAGUUUUACCGGCAAAGACAGUGGACUGAACAUACAUGUUAACUAUUGCUCUGUCCUAGGCUUCACUAAAACAACGGUAAAGGAUUUUUUUUUUUCUUGCAUAAGCCCCUGAGAACAAAGGUAAUGAGAGAGAAGGAAAUAGUAAUAACGUUUUAGAAGCUGGAAGGCAGAUAAACAAAUGGUAACUGGCUUAUCCAACCUAAGAAAGAUGAAUCUUAAGCCAGCAAGGGGAUCAGGUGACACUGAAGAAUCCCAAAAGUUUCAGAAAUUGGUGACAUCAGCAGGAAUAAAGACACAGACCUACUGGAGAACGGACUUGAGGACAUGGGGAGGGGGAAGGGUGAGCUGUGACAAAGCGAGAGAGAGGCAUGGA